RNAcentral lists this ribosomal RNA (1251 nucleotides) under Scopelopsis multipunctatus. Its description in RNAcentral is "16S ribosomal RNA". It matches the Rfam family "Bacterial large subunit ribosomal RNA", at positions 619 to 2570 of the family's 2925-position model. The record is from RNAcentral. Lineage: Eukaryota; Metazoa; Chordata; Actinopteri; Myctophiformes; Myctophidae.
UCUAGCCAGUACCCCUGAGCAAAGAGAACUUUAGUUCAGCCCCCCGAAACUAGACGAGCUACUUCAAGACAGCCUAUGAUGGGCAAACCCGUCUCUGUUGCAAAAGAGUGGGAUGAUCUUCAAGUAGAGGUGACAAACCUAUCGAGCCUAGUUAUAGCUGGUUGUCUGAGAAUUGUAUAUAAGUUCAGCCUCCCGACUCCCCCCAUCAAAGACAUUCAUGUCUCCUAAGAUCAAGGGUGACCGAGAGAGUUAGUCAAAGAGGGUACAGCCCCUUUGAAAAAGGACACAACCUCCCCGGGAGACUAAAGAUCAUAAUUAACCUAAGGACCCUUGUUUUAGUGGGCCUAAAAGCAGCCACCUAAGAAGAAAGCGUUAAAGCUCAUACAAAUUCCACCCCCUAAUACCGAACCCAACUCUGCACUCCCCACCCAUUAUCAGACCGUCCCACCUUACCCUGGGAAAGACCCUGCUAGAAUGAGUAAUAAGAGGGACCGCCCCUCUCCACUGCACAUGUGUAAAUCGGAACGGACCCACCACCGAUAACUAACGAUUCCCCCUCCGAGGCAAAUGUAGCACUGCACAAACAGCUAGAAAACCCAACACAACAAAUCGUUAACCCCACACAGGUGCGCAUGCCCGGAAAGACUUAGAUAAAGGGAAGGAACUCGGCAAACACAAGCCUCGCCUGUUUACCAGAAACAUCGCCUCUUGCAAAAAGAACGAAUAAGAGGUCCCGCCUGCCCUGUGACUAUAUGUUUAACGGCCGCGGUAUUCUGACCGUGCAAAGGUAGCGCAAUCACUUGUCUCUUAAAUGGAGACCUGUAUGAAAGGCAUCACGAGGGCUUAGCUGUCUCCCCUCUAAAGUCAAUGAAAUUGAUCUCCCCGUGCAGAAGCGGGGAUACGCUCGUAAGACGAGAAGACCCUAUGGAGCUUAAGAUAUAAAGUGACCCAUGUCAAGCACCCCUCACAAAGGACUAGAACAAGAUGGACCUCAUCGAAAUAUCUUCGGUUGGGGCGACCGCGGGGAAAGACAAAACCCCCACAUGGAACGGGGCCACUAUAGCCCUAGAACCCAGACCCACGAGUCAAACUAACAGUAUUUCUGACCACCAAAGAGCCGGCAAUGCCGAUCAACGGACCGAGUUACCCUAGGGAUAACAGCGCAAUCCCCUCCCAGAGCCCUUAUUGACAAGGGGGUUUACGACCUCGAUGUUGGAUCAGGACAUCCUAAUGGUGCAGCCGCUAUUAAGG